RNAcentral lists this ribosomal RNA (775 nucleotides) under uncultured Neocallimastigales. RNAcentral describes it as "partial large subunit ribosomal RNA". It matches the Rfam family "Eukaryotic large subunit ribosomal RNA", at positions 24 to 643 of the family's 3401-position model. The record is from RNAcentral. Lineage: Eukaryota; Fungi; Neocallimastigomycota; Neocallimastigomycetes; Neocallimastigales.
UUAUGUGAUCGUCUCUCGCAUAUCAAUAAGCGGAGGAAAAGAAACUAACAAGGAUUCCCCUAGUAACGGCGAGUGAAGCGGGAAGAGCUCAAAUUUGAAAUCUUAAAGGGUUUCCCUUUACGAAUUGUAGUUUAAAGAAGUGUUUUCUGUUGAGGUUUUGGUAAAAGUUCUUUGGAAUAGGACAUCAUAGAGGGUGAGAAUCCCGUAUUUGACCUUUACUUUCAACUUUGUGAUACACUUUCAAAGAGUCGGAUUGUUUGGGAAUGCAGUCCAAAAUGGGUGGUAAAUUUCAUCUAAAGCUAAAUAUUGGCGAGAGACCGAUAGCGAACAAGUACCGUGAGGGAAAGAUGAAAAGAACUUUGAAAAGAGAGUUAAACAGUACGUGAAAUUGUCAAAAGGGAAGCGUUUGACACCAGUGUUGUUUUUCUGAAAAUCAAUUAAAGAACUGUUUAUGCUAAGUUGUUUAGACUUUAUCAGCUAACUGUUUAGUUUUGAGCUUUUCUUUAAUGCACUUUUCAGUUAACAAGUCAACAUCAAUUUCUUUUGCUGUAAAAAAGCUUGAGGAAGGUGGCUUGAGAUUCGUCUUAAGUGUUUAUAGCCUCUUGCCUAUGCAGUCGGAGAGAUUGAGGUCUGCAGCGUAGAUCCUUCGGGGCUAAAUGCAUUUGUGCUAAGUUAUAGCAUUUUAUAGACAACUUGUUGACUAUGAUUUGUCUUGUAGCUUACUCGCUCAUGUUAUUUUACCUACGCUUAGGAUGUUGACACACGCGCGUGCUCG